This 88-nucleotide transfer RNA is filed under the name Candidatus Omnitrophota bacterium. Its description in RNAcentral is "Candidatus Omnitrophica bacterium tRNA-Leu". It matches the Rfam family "tRNA". Rfam says of the family: Transfer RNA (tRNA) molecules are approximately 80 nucleotides in length. Their secondary structure includes four short double-helical elements and three loops (D, anti-codon, and T loops). The record is from RNAcentral. Lineage: Bacteria; Pseudomonadati; Candidatus Omnitrophota.
GGGCGGGUGGCGGAACUGGCAGACGCAAGGGACUUAAAAUCCCUCGGGUGAAUAACCUGUGUGGGUUCGAUUCCCACCUCGCCCACCA